ACGUGAUACUUUAUUGGAUCUUCUUAAAAGUGCCUCAACAAUGGGCUCUGAAUUUGAUCUAAUCAAAUUCGAUUCUAUAUUUCACAUAUUUGUGUUGGUUCUUCUAUCUGUCAAACUUUCUCAAGUUCAUCCAUAGUGGCAUCAAUUCCUUACCUAAGUAAAUCUUUUUCUAAAAAGAAUGCCCUGAGGUUGAUGAAUAUCUUUUAUUCUUCAGCAAGGUAGAAGUAGUAUGCCCUAAACUCCUUAGGAUACCCUAUAAUUGAGCACUUAUUGG
Molecule: long non-coding RNA, 274 nt
Filed under: Elaeis guineensis (African oil palm)
Lineage: Eukaryota; Viridiplantae; Streptophyta; Magnoliopsida; Arecales; Arecaceae
Description: long non-coding RNA (EGUI_LNC008486)
Source: RNAcentral